GGCCGCCUGGCCCUGGGGGGCUGUGUCUGCCUUGAGCAGCCUCUCACGUGGGGCAGAGCACGUGCGCCAGAGACAUCAACCAGAAGAACGGAUAAAGGGGCGAAUUGAGUUCUCACUCUCCUGGGAAAUUUUUGGAACAAAGAUCAGUUAAUUUUUUUCCAGAGAUCUUCAUCUCUAUUACUGCUCUCCAGCGUUACGUUAUCCCGACCGGCAGAUUUUACCAACACGUGCAAAGAAGGACAGUCCAGGAAAGCACCGGAAGGAGCACGAGAUGCUUUUCAAACUGCUCGUUUCCACUGCAUCUUCCCGUUGGCGUCUCACAGCACCCCGAGAGGCAGCUCCGAGAUCAGGCUGCUGAACCGGCAGAUCUCCUCGCUGACCAGGACGUCGAAGGCGUCCCGUUGCCUCAGGAUGUCCC
Molecule: long non-coding RNA, 418 nt
Organism: Neogale vison (American mink)
Lineage: Eukaryota; Metazoa; Chordata; Mammalia; Carnivora; Mustelidae
Exons: 4
Source: RefSeq, a predicted model, not a curated record